UAGGACGCCGCGCAGGAAGCGCACUGAAAAACAUGGAUGCAGUGGAUUCUCCGCCAGGAUGGCGGUUGAUCAGGGAUGUCAGGGAAACAAGUCUGCAGAAACCCCGCUUCGGCGGGGUUUU
Small RNA from Pseudomonas sp. FeS53a, 121 nucleotides. Lineage: Bacteria; Pseudomonadati; Pseudomonadota; Gammaproteobacteria; Pseudomonadales; Pseudomonadaceae. The record is from Rfam.